AGGACGAACGCUGGCGGCGUGCUUAACACAUGCAAGUCGAGCGGAAAGGCCCUUCGGGGUACUCGAGCGGCGAACGGGUGAGUAACACGUGAGUAACCUGCCCCUAGCUCUGGGAUAGCUCCGGGAAACCGGGAUUAAUACCAGAUACGACCACUUUAGACAUCUGUCGUGGUGGAAAGGAUUCCGGCUAGGGAUGGGCUCGCGGCCUAUCAGUCUUGGUUGGUGGGGUAACGCCUACCAAGGCGACGACGGGUA
Molecule: ribosomal RNA, 255 nt
Filed under: uncultured bacterium
Lineage: Bacteria
Description: partial small subunit ribosomal RNA
Rfam family: Bacterial small subunit ribosomal RNA
Source: RNAcentral